This 253-nucleotide ribosomal RNA is filed under the name uncultured bacterium. RNAcentral's name for it is "partial 16S ribosomal RNA". It matches the Rfam family "Bacterial small subunit ribosomal RNA", at positions 524 to 776 of the family's 1533-position model. The record is from RNAcentral.
UACGUAGGGUGCGAGCGUUGUCCGGAAUUAUUGGGCGUAAAGAGCUCGUAGGCGGUUUGUCGCGUCUGCUGUGAAAACUCGGGGCUUAACCCCGGGCCUGCAGUGGGUACGGGCAGACUAGAGUGCGGUAGGGGAGACUGGAAUUCCUGGUGUAGUGGUGAAAUGCGCAGAUAUCUGGAGGAACACCGGUGGCGAAGGCGGCAUCCUGGACCGACAUUGACGCUGAGGCGCGAAAGCCAGGGGAGCAAACGGG